RNAcentral lists this transfer RNA (73 nucleotides) under Camelus bactrianus (Bactrian camel). It matches the Rfam family "tRNA". Rfam says of the family: Transfer RNA (tRNA) molecules are approximately 80 nucleotides in length. Their secondary structure includes four short double-helical elements and three loops (D, anti-codon, and T loops). Lineage: Eukaryota; Metazoa; Chordata; Mammalia; Artiodactyla; Camelidae. RNAcentral also lists the same sequence under 2 other names. The record is from Rfam by way of RNAcentral.
GAAGGUAUAGCUUAAGUGGUAGAGCACAUGCCUAGCAUGCAUGAGGUCCUGGAUUCAAUCCCUGGUACCUCCU